AGUGAACGCUGGCGGUAGGCCUAACACAUGCAAGUCGAACGGCAGCACAGUAAGAGCUUGCUCUUACGGGUGGCGAGUGGCGGACGGGUGAGGAAUACAUCGGAAUCUACUUUUUCGUGGGGGAUAACGUAGGGAAACUUACGCUAAUACCGCAUACGACCUACGGGUGAAAGCAGGGGAUCUUCGGACCUUGCGCGAUUGAAUGAGCCGAUGUCGGAUUAGCUAGUUGGCGGGGUAAAGGCCCACCAAGGCAACGAUCCGUAGCUGGUCUGAGAGGAUGAUCGGCCACACUGGAACUGAGACACGGUCCAGACUCCUACGGGAGGCAGCAGUGGGGAAUAUUGGGCAAUGGGCGAAAGCCUGACCCAGCCAUACCGCGUGGGUGAAGAAGGUCUUCGGGUCGUAAAGCCCUGUUGUUGGGAAAGAAAAGAAGCAGAAUAAUAUCUCGCUGUCUUGACGGUACCCAAUGAAUAAGCCCCGGCUAACUACGUG
Molecule: ribosomal RNA, 492 nt
Filed under: uncultured bacterium
Lineage: Bacteria
Description: partial 16S ribosomal RNA
Rfam family: Bacterial small subunit ribosomal RNA
Source: RNAcentral